Molecule: ribosomal RNA, 919 nt
Filed under: Septoria lactucae
Lineage: Eukaryota; Fungi; Ascomycota; Dothideomycetes; Mycosphaerellales; Mycosphaerellaceae
Description: partial large subunit ribosomal RNA
Rfam family: Eukaryotic large subunit ribosomal RNA
Source: RNAcentral
CUUAAGCAUAUCAAUAAGCGGAGGAAAAGAAACCAACAGGGAUUGCCCUAGUAACGGCGAGUGAAGCGGCAACAGCUCAAAUUUGAAAUCUGGCGCAAGCCCGAGUUGUAAUUUGUAGAGGAUGCUUCUGGGUAGCGACCGAUCUAAGUUCCUUGGAACAGGACGUCAUAGAGGGUGAGAAUCCCGUAUGUGACCGGCCCGCACCCUUUACGUAGCUCCUUCGACGAGUCGAGUUGUUUGGGAAUGCAGCUCUAAAUGGGAGGUAAAUUUCUUCUAAAGCUAAAUACCGGCCAGAGACCGAUAGCGCACAAGUAGAGUGAUCGAAAGAUGAAAAGUACUUUGGAAAGAGAGUUAAAAAGCACGUGAAAUUGUUGAAAGGGAAGCGCCUGCAACCAGACUUCGCGGCAGUGUUCCGCCGGUCUUCUGACCGGUUCAUUCUCUGUCGCGAGGCCAUCAUCGUCUGGGCCCGCCGGAUAAGACCUUAGGAAUGUAGCUCACCUUCGGGGGAGUGUUAUAGCCUAGGGUGAUGCGGCGAGGCUCGGGCGAGGUCCGCGCUUCGGCAAGGAUGAUGGCGUAAUGGUUGUCGGCGGCCCGUCUUGAAACACGGACCAAGGAGUCUAACAUCUAUGCGAGUGUUCGGGUGUCAAACCCCUACGCGUAAUGAAAGUGAACGGAGGUGGGAACCGCAAGGUGCACCAUCGACCGAUCCUGAUGUCCUCGGAUGGAUUUGAGUAAGAGCAUAGCUGUUGGGACCCGAAAGAUGGUGAACUAUGCCUGAAUAGGGUGAAGCCAGAGGAAACUCUGGUGGAGGCUCGCAGCGGUUCUGACGUGCAAAUCGAUCGUCAAAUUUGGGUAUAGGGGCGAAAGACUAAUCGAACCAUCUAGUAGCUGGUUCCUGCCGAAGUUUCCCCUCAGGGAA